CGUAGGGUGCGAGCGUUGUCCGGAAUUAUUGGGCGUAAAGGGCUCGUAGGCGGUUUGUCGCGUCGGGAGUGAAAUCCAUGGGCUUAACUUAUGGCUUGCUUUCGAUACGGGCAGACUAGAGGUAUGCAGGGGAGAACGGAAUUCCUGGUGUAGCGGUGAAAUGCGCAGAUAUCAGGAGGAACACCGGUGGCGAAGGCGGUUCUCUGGGCAUGAUCUGACGCUGAGGAGCGAAAGUGUGGGGAGCGAACAGGAUUAGAUACCCUGGUAGUCCACACCGUAAACGUUGGGCGCUAGGUGUGGGGCCCAUUCCACGGGUUCCGUGCCGCAGCUAACGCAUUAAGCGCCCCGCCUGGGGAGUACGGCCGCAAGGCUA
This 373-nucleotide ribosomal RNA is filed under the name uncultured organism. Its description in RNAcentral is "bacterial SSU rRNA". It matches the Rfam family "Bacterial small subunit ribosomal RNA", at positions 526 to 896 of the family's 1533-position model. The record is from RNAcentral.